UACGGAGGAUGCGAGCGUUAUCCGGAUUUAUUGGGUUUAAAGGGUGCGUAGGCGGAUUAAUAAGUCAGUGGUGAAAACCUGCAGCUUAACUGUAGAACUGCCAUUGAUACUGUUAGUCUUGAGUACGGUCAAGGUAGGCGGAAUGUGUAAUGUAGCGGUGAAAUGCUUAGAUAUUACACAGAACACCGAUUGCGAAGGCAGCUUACUGGGCCAUUACUGACGCUGAGGCACGAAAGCGUGGGGAGCGAACAGG
Molecule: ribosomal RNA, 253 nt
Filed under: uncultured bacterium
Lineage: Bacteria
Description: partial 16S ribosomal RNA
Rfam family: Bacterial small subunit ribosomal RNA
Source: RNAcentral